This 492-nucleotide ribosomal RNA is filed under the name uncultured bacterium. RNAcentral's name for it is "partial 16S ribosomal RNA". It matches the Rfam family "Bacterial small subunit ribosomal RNA", at positions 29 to 507 of the family's 1533-position model. The record is from RNAcentral.
AGUGAACGCUGGCGGUAGGCCUAACACAUGCAAGUCGAACGGCAGCACAGUAAGAGCUUGCUCUUACGGGUGGCGAGUGGCGGACGGGUGCGGAAUACAUCGGAAUCUACUUUUUCGUGGGGGAUAACGUAGGGAAACUUAUGCUAAUACCGCAUACGUCCUACGGGUGGAAGCAUGGGAUCUUCGGACCUUGCGCGAUUGAAUGAGCCGAUGUCGGAUUAGCUAGUUGGCGGGGUAAUGGCCCACCAAGGCGACGAUCCGUAGCUGGUCUGAGAGGAUGGUCGGCGACACUGGAACUGAGACACGGUCAAGACUCCUACGGGAGGCAGCAGUGGGGAAUAUUGGGCAAUGGGCGCAAGCCUGAUCCAGCCAUACCGCGUGGGUGAAGGAGGCCUUCGGGUUGUAAAGCCCUUUUGUUGGGAAAGAAAAGCAGUAGGUUAAUACCCCGCUGUUCUGACGGUACCCAAUGAAUAAGCACCGGCUAACUUCGUG